This 736-nucleotide ribosomal RNA is filed under the name uncultured prokaryote. RNAcentral's name for it is "bacterial SSU rRNA". It matches the Rfam family "Bacterial small subunit ribosomal RNA", at positions 28 to 782 of the family's 1533-position model. The record is from RNAcentral.
GAUGAACGCUGACAGAAUGCUUAACACAUGCAAGUCGAUUCAAGUUACCUUCGGGUAAUGAGGAUGGCGGACGGGUGAGUAACGCGUAAGGAACUUGCCUCUUGGUCUGGGACAACUGUUGGAAACGACAGCUAAUACCGGAUAUUAUGAGAUUCUCGCAUGGGAAACUUAUGAAAGCUAUAUGCGCCAAGAGAGAGCCUUGCGUUCCAUUAGCUAGUUGGUGGGGUAACGGCCCACCAAGGCGACGAUGGAUAGCCGGCCUGAGAGGGUGAACGGCCACAAGGGGACUGAGACACGGCCCUUACUCCUACGGGAGGCAGCAGUGGGGAAUAUUGGACAAUGGGCCACAAGCCUGAUCCAGCAAUUCUGUGUGCACGAUGAAGGUCUUCGGAUUGUAAAGUGCUUUCAGUUGGGAAGAAGAAAGUGACGGUACCAACAGAAGAAGCGACGGCUAAAUACGUGCCAGCAGCCGCGGUAAUACGUAUGUCGCAAGCGUUAUCCGGAUUUAUUGGGCGUAAAGCGCGUCUAGGCGGAAAAAUAAGUCUGAUGUUAAAAUGCGGGGCUCAACUCCGUAUUGCGUUGGAAACUGUUUUUCUAGAGUACUGGAGANGUGGGCGGAACUACAAGUGUAGAGGUGAAAUUCGUAGAUAUUUGUAGGAAUGCCGAUGGAGAAGUCAGCUCACUGGACAGAUACUGACGCUGAAGCGCGAAAGCNUGGGGAGCAAACAGGAUUAGA